Molecule: ribosomal RNA, 189 nt
Filed under: Xanthomonas arboricola
Lineage: Bacteria; Pseudomonadati; Pseudomonadota; Gammaproteobacteria; Lysobacterales; Lysobacteraceae
Description: partial 16S ribosomal RNA
Rfam family: Bacterial small subunit ribosomal RNA
Source: RNAcentral
UAAGUGAAGAGUUUGAUCCUGGCUCAGAGUGAACGCUGGCGGCAGGCCUAACACAUGCAAGUCGAACGGCAGCACAGUAAGAGCUUGCUCUUACGGGUGGCGAGUGGCGGACGGGUGAGGAAUACAUCGGAAUCUACUCUUUCGUGGGGGAUAACGUAGGGAAACUUACGCUAAUACCGCAUACGACCU